This 737-nucleotide long non-coding RNA is filed under the name Carica papaya (papaya). RNAcentral's name for it is "long non-coding RNA (CPAP_LNC001475)". Lineage: Eukaryota; Viridiplantae; Streptophyta; Magnoliopsida; Brassicales; Caricaceae. The record is from RNAcentral.
GGAUACAUCUAUUCAAUAUCAAAUAAAAAUUUAAAAUUUUAGUAAUUUUAAUUAAAUAAUUGGGUUGAGGCACAUCGAGAAUCAAAGAUAUCAGUUGAGGGGUUACGGAUGUCUCUAUUUAGCUAGAAACUAUGAGAAGUUAUGAUAUGUGAUUAUGAGGGAUAAAUUUUAGCAUAAGGGGAAUUUAAGGGAUAAAUUUAGCUUAGAGGGAUUUUGAGGGAUAAAAUGAAUUUACGGAGAUUGUAAAGAAUAAAAUGAGCCUAGGAGGAUCUUGAGGGAUAAAAUGAGUUAGGGAGAUAAUAAGAGAUAGAUUAGAAAUUUUAAUCUCUCUGCAUUUCACAGCUUUCAAAAAAAAAAAAUGUUUUACGUCUUUGAUUGAUUAAUUGUUUGUAUGUCGUAUACCAAUGGCGUCACUAAUUUUUUAUAUUUAUUGAGCACGUGGAAAGAUCAUUUCAUUCAAUUUUAUCAAUUUUUCAGAUAAGGAGGAUCCAAUUUUAGAUUAGGAGGAUCCAACCCCUAAACUAGAUAAAAAAAAGAAACUGUGUAAGCACCCGUGGUAGAAAUUGAUAUUUUUAUAACCGAACAGAUCUUUAUUUUGUUUUGGCUCUAUCUUACGGAUAUCAAGUAUUGUAAAUAGUGCUACAAUAUUGUCAAGAGAUAGAUAGUGUAUGUUUUGAAAUCUACAAAUACUUUGCUUAUUAUUUUUCCACUGUGUAAUUGGUGCUUGACGACUGUAA